Dermacentor albipictus is the source of this 694-nucleotide long non-coding RNA. RefSeq lists it as uncharacterized. Lineage: Eukaryota; Metazoa; Arthropoda; Arachnida; Ixodida; Ixodidae. The record is from RefSeq and is a predicted model, not a curated record.
AGCUUAAGAAAACUAUUCAUACGGUGACUUGAAGGAAAAUCGUAAGACUGCGUCUUCUCCUGCUCGCCCGCUGUUCAGAACCUCGAUGAUGGCUCACGAAGAGAGCAGCAACAAGGCAACGGCAACGUGCCAUGCUGGCACGAUGACGGCGUGACGAAUACGACGGCACGAUAUUGACUGCACAUACAAAAUGACGGCACAACGACAGCUCCGGAACGACGCCUUACGUAUCGAAGAAAUUCCAGGAGUAGAUCCUGGGUUAUAGUGAGCGCGACUAGGGUUGUCUGACUGUCACGCGAGUGGGGUGGGUUAUGCCUGGCUGUCCGGGCCGGCAAUCGCUCCACUCUGAGAGCGUCCUUCCACUACCAGCAACGUGUUGUUUCGUGCCGAUCAGGCGUGCUGAGUACGAAAUCACGGCCUGGAUUCCCGGCAGCCAUGUGGCGGCGGUUGGAUAAAGGAGGAGGAGGAGGAGCGUUGCUUGCUUCGGGCGGACCUGUCGGACAAAGGCGAGAGGCACUUCCUCUGGGCGUGGCAUUUACGCUGUUCGUCAGCGCAAUUUCGAUUUUCGUGGUAUGGUGCUGUGAAAUUGACUAAAAGAAUAGUGCUAAUGCAUACACUUGGAUCUACGUGUUAUAAAUUAGGACGCACCACCGAAAGCACCACCUCAAAAAUGUAUUUCAGUAUUUUUGGUUAA